RNAcentral lists this ribosomal RNA (403 nucleotides) under uncultured bacterium. RNAcentral describes it as "bacterial SSU rRNA". It matches the Rfam family "Bacterial small subunit ribosomal RNA", at positions 917 to 1322 of the family's 1533-position model. The record is from RNAcentral.
GGGCCCGCACAAGCGGUGGAGCAUGUGGUUUAAUUCGAUGAUACGCGAGGAACCUUACCAGGGCUUAAAUGUAGAACGACCGAUUUGGAAACAAGUCUUCUCUUUGAGCGGUCUACAAGGUGCUGCAUGGUUGUCGUCAGCUCGUGCCGUGAGGUGUCGGGUUAAGUCCCUUAACGAGCGCAACCCCUAUCUCUAGUUGUCAGCGGAUAAUGCCGGGGACUCUAGAGAAACUGCCCGUGCAAACGGUGAGGAAGGUGGGGAUGACGUCAAAUCAUCACGGCCCUUACGUCCUGGGCUACACACGUGCUACAAUGGUCGGUACAGAGGGCAGCUACCACGUGAGUGGAUGCAAAUCUCGAAAGCCGAUCUCAGUUCGGAUUGAAGUCUGCAACUCGCCUACGUG